Ornithorhynchus anatinus (platypus) is the source of this 288-nucleotide long non-coding RNA. RefSeq lists it as uncharacterized. The record is from RefSeq and is a predicted model, not a curated record. Lineage: Eukaryota; Metazoa; Chordata; Mammalia; Monotremata; Ornithorhynchidae. The transcript is spliced from 2 exons.
AACCCAGAGCAGGGUCCAGAAGGGGAAGAUCCCUCUCUUGGGACCAAGAACAUGGCAUCCAAGCUCAAACCAGAUUCCUUCUUGGGCCUUCAGCAGCUCCCAGUGAUUGAGCAGUCGAUCGAUCAAUCUAUUGAUGGAUGGCCUGGUAAGCUUCCUCCGCGUUCCAGAUCCUCUCAAAUGAACUCCAGACGCCAGUCGCCGGGCUGCUUACUACACACAGAUGGGAGCAGGGAGGGAAUGGGUUUAUCAAACAACCAGACAAACAAUAAAGAAAACAGGCUCUAAGAA